CUGUGGGAACCCGAGGACUCUGCCUGUCCCUCCAGCCCUAAACAGGUGCAGGAACCUGGGCGGCUAACUGUCGUCACAACUGCUCCUGGCUCUGGCUUCUAGCCAGCCUAGGGAGGGAGAAGCCAUGGGGAGGGUCAAGUCCAAGGCUAAGGAACCCAGUGGCCCCUCUCCCCAGAAUAGGGCCUGCUUUGUCUGAGCCUGCAGCCUGUACAGUGCCCAGCACAUAUCACAUGCUCAAAGUUUGUGGCUAGAAAGCAGGUAAACUUUGCAAGACUCAAAGGUAGUUUCUCCUUCACCUAUCUUAGCUAGAAGCACAUUGGCAGAACCUCAAAGAGAUGCCAGGGGCUUGUGUGGCCUGGGAGGCCUUCAGCAAAUAUUUCUCAAGUGAACCCAAGGUGAAGAGCAGAUGUACUUGGUGCCUGAGGAAGUGGUAUUUACAGGUCUGGAAUUUUGUCUAGACCCAGGAGGGCAGAAUCAAGGAAGGCAGAGCUGAGACAGCAGCCGUAGAGUGCCCCUGCCAUACCAAUGCCUAAAGAUUCUAGGCCUGGGGUGCCAGUGGGUAAUAGGCAAGGCCAGGGCAGGGCUGCGCCAUCAUGUUUAUUAGAAGGUUGGAUUUCAGUGUGUGUGUGCUCUAGACAGAUUACAGAAUAAAUACCUGUCUCUUGAGAACAGAAGUCCAAGAUUCAUACAAGGUGCUCACUAUAGGAAGGAGCGCUAUCAAAAUCCAGGUAGGACCCAAAUCUGGGCCACCCUCCUCCACUGACCUCAAC
Peromyscus maniculatus bairdii (prairie deer mouse) is the source of this 770-nucleotide non-coding RNA. The record is from RefSeq and is a predicted model, not a curated record. NCBI's taxonomy places the organism in Eukaryota, Metazoa, Chordata, Mammalia, Rodentia, Cricetidae.